UGGGAAUCUUGCACAAUGGGGGAAACCCUGAUGCAGCGACGCCGCGUGGAGGAAGAAGGGUCUAGGCUCGUAAACUCCUUUUUCAGGGAAAGACUUAGGACGGUACCCUGAGAAUAAGCUCCGGCUAACUACGUGCCAGCAGCCGCGGUAAGACGUAGGGAGCGAGCGUUGUCCGGAUUUACUGGGCGUAAAGAGCACGUAGGCGGUCUGUUAAGUGAGAAGUGAAAUCUCCAGCGCUCAACGCGGAAACGGCUUUUCAUACUGGCAGACUUGAGGGAUGCAGAGGCAAGUAGAAUUCCUGGUGUACCGGUGACAUGGGUUGAUAUCAGGAGGAAUACCAAUGGCGAAGGCAGCUUGCUGGGCAUCAUCUGACGCUGAGGUGCGAAAGCGUGGGUAGCAAAC
Molecule: ribosomal RNA, 402 nt
Filed under: uncultured bacterium
Lineage: Bacteria
Description: bacterial SSU rRNA
Rfam family: Bacterial small subunit ribosomal RNA
Source: RNAcentral